Non-coding RNA from Myotis davidii, 75 nucleotides. Lineage: Eukaryota; Metazoa; Chordata; Mammalia; Chiroptera; Vespertilionidae. The record is from Rfam.
UGCGGUUCUUGGGUGACACACCCAGAACCAGAGAGGAGGGAGCCUGAUUCUGGGGUGCAUCACCCAAGAACCGCC